GAUGAAGAACGCAGCGAAAUGCGAUACUUGGUGUGAAUUGCAGAAUCCCGUGAACCAUCGAGUCUUUGAACGCAAGUUGCGCCCGAAGCCAUUAGGCCGAGGGCACGCCUGCCUGGGCGUCACACGUCGUUGCCCCCCCAUCUACUCCUUCGGGAUUGCGGGGGGCGGAUGAUGGCCUCCCGUGCGCCUCGUCGCGCGGUUGGCCUAAAUGCCAAGUCCUCGGCGACGCACGCCACGACAAUCGGUGGUUGCGAAACCUCGGUUGCCCGUCGUGUGCGGUCGUCGCGCAUCGAGGGCUCGAAAAAAUUGCCGGGCUUCGGCUCGACUUUCAACGCGACCCCAGGUCAGGCGGGGUUACCCGCUGAAUUUAAGCAUAUAAUAAGCGGAGGA
RNAcentral lists this unclassified non-coding RNA (390 nucleotides) under soil metagenome. RNAcentral's name for it is "partial contains 5.8S ribosomal RNA, internal transcribed spacer 2, and large subunit ribosomal RNA". The stretch from base 1 to 122 matches the Rfam family "5.8S ribosomal RNA", at positions 35 to 154 of the family's 154-position model. The record is from RNAcentral.